CUCCUGUGAUUAGUGGCGAACGGGUGAGUAACACGUGAGUAACCUGCCCCUGACUCUGGGAUAAGCGUUGGAAACGACGUCUAAUACUGGAUACGACUGCCGGCCGCAUGGUCUGGUGGUGGAAAGAUUUUUUGGUUGGGGAUGGACUCGCGGCCUAUCAGCUUGUUGGUGAGGUAAUGGCUCACCAAGGCGACGACGGGUAGCCGGCCUGAGAGGGUGACCGGCCACACUGGGACUGAGACACGGCCCAAACUCCUACGGGAGGCAGCAGUGGGGAAUAUUGCACAAUGGGCGAAAGCCUGAUGCAGCAACGCCGCGUGAGGGAUGACGGCCUUCGGGUUGUAAACCUCUUUUAGUAGGGAAGAAGCGAAAGUGACGGUACCUGCAGAAAAAGCACCGGCUAACUACGUGCCAGCAGCCGCGGUAAUACGUAGGGUGCAAGCGUUGUCCGGAAUUAUUGGGCGUAAAGAGCUCGUAGGCGGUUUGUCGCGUCUGCUGUGAAAUCCCGAGGCUC
RNAcentral lists this ribosomal RNA (514 nucleotides) under Curtobacterium sp. I12A-01512. RNAcentral's name for it is "bacterial SSU rRNA". It matches the Rfam family "Bacterial small subunit ribosomal RNA", at positions 83 to 610 of the family's 1533-position model. Lineage: Bacteria; Bacillati; Actinomycetota; Actinomycetes; Micrococcales; Microbacteriaceae. The record is from RNAcentral.